Molecule: ribosomal RNA, 497 nt
Filed under: uncultured bacterium
Lineage: Bacteria
Description: partial 16S ribosomal RNA
Rfam family: Bacterial small subunit ribosomal RNA
Source: RNAcentral
GAUGAACGCUGUCGGCGUGCCUAAUUCAUGCAAGUCUAGCGAACAUACUAGCAGAUUGCUCCUCUGUCGCUAGCUGCGGACGGGUCAUUACCACGUCGCUAACCCACCUAUACGACUGGGAUAACUUCGAGCAACCUGAGCUAAUACCUGAUCAUAUAUUCAACCGCAUGGUUCAAUAGUCAUAGACGCUUUUGCUGUCCCUUACACAUGGACCCGCGCCGCUCUGUCUAGUUGGUAAGGUAACGGCUUACCAAGGCGAAGAUGCGUAGCCGACGUGAGAGGGUGAUCGGCCCCACGGGAACGGAGACAAGGUCCAGACUCCUACGGGACGCAGCAGUAGGGAAUCGUGAGCAAUGGGCGAAAGCCUGAAGGAGCAACGCCGCGUGAGUGAUGAAGGUCUCCGGAUCGUAAAACUCUGUUAUUAGGGAAGAACAAAUGUGUAAGUAAAUAUGCACGUCUUGACGGUACCUAAGCAGAAAGCUACGGCUAACUACGUG